ACAGCAGUGGCAGACGGGUGAGUAACACGUGGGAACCUACCUAGGGGUACGGAAUAACUCAGGGAAACUUGUGCUAAUACCGUAUACGACCUCAGGGUGAAAGAUUUAUCGCCCCUAGAUGGGCCCGCGUUGGAUUAGCUAGUUGGUGAGGUAAAAGCUCACCAAGGCGACGAUCCAUAGCUGGUCUGAGAGGAUGAUCAGCCACACUGGGACUGAGACACGGCCCAGACUCC
Molecule: ribosomal RNA, 233 nt
Filed under: uncultured bacterium
Lineage: Bacteria
Description: partial 16S ribosomal RNA
Rfam family: Bacterial small subunit ribosomal RNA
Source: RNAcentral